AGGUAUUUGUACAAAAAUAAACACACAGUUACAAUCAGAGCCAAUCCUAGAAUAUUUAAAACCAUAAGCAAAAAACAAAAAAGUGGCUGGAACUGUACCAACUAAUGGUUGAAGCUGUGAUCUGAGGAAGGUGAAAUGAGUGAGCAUUGCCACUAGAGACUAAAGAGGAUACACGGAUUAUGUGGCCGAAAAGUAUUUGUCACAAAAUAAACGGCCACAAGCAAUUGCUUCAUUCGCUUGAUGCUAGAUUCUACAAGCAAGUCUUUGCUGUUAUAUCUUUCAAAACUGGAGUUUCUACAAUUUCAAAGCAACUUUCUACAACUUCAUAGCAACUGAUUCUACUACUACUGUUACAAGGCUAAAAGAAAACUAUUGUAUCCUCAAGAUCACGGUUGCUGCUGGUAUCGAUUGAAUAUGAAUCUCUUAGCUUGCAACCUCCUGAAAAGCAGUGAAUGUCUUAAAACAUGUUGAAUAUCCCUUCACGCCAUCCAAACCAUGCCCCAUGAACAAUGCCAUCUUUCACGUCUCCUUGCCCUGAAAAAUCCAACACUACAAGUUUCUGAUUCCACGUGAUAAAAAGAAGAAGUCGAGAAGCAGGAGAGGAAGGAUCAGUGUGUAUCACCUUCAACCGAAGACCAACACACAACUGAAGGGACACUGUCGGAGAAUUUAUUUUCAGACAGAAGUUGGCCAGAUUUGAUACACCAAACGCGAGUGUGGCAGUCAUCUCCUCCUGAAAACAGACAUACAAAGAACCAAAAAAAAACUAAAGUCAUAACACUGAAACCAAACUCGUAAUGAUUUUUCAAGCUAAAUUAUUAUUAAACAAUUAUUGGAACUUGAUUUUUUCAACGCUUUUUUUAAUAUUAGUUAUUGUUCUCGUUUGUAGUGUUACUGAUGAGUGAUGAGAAUGGACAUGUAAUGAUAAAGUUCUUUAAUUUUAUGUAACUGUAAAUUAAUAAUCUUAAGCUCUUAAACCCGUUAUGAUAAUGUCUACAACAUUUUUAUAGUAUUUGUUUUUCAAUCAGUAUUUAAUAAUUUAAUGAAUCCUAAAAAUCAAAAUUACACCACCUUUUAUUUAUUUUUCUUAAAACAACUAUUAAAAUGAUUUAAAAGUUGUAGUAGGUAUUUCUACAAAAAAAACAUACAGUUACAAUCAGAGCUGGUCCUAGAAUAUUUAAGACCAUAAGCAAAAGACAGAAAAGUGGCUGGAACUGUACCAACUAAUGGUUGAAGCUAUGAUCUGAGGAAGGUGAAAUGAGUGAGCAUUGCCACUAGAGACUAAAGAGGAUACACGGAUUAUGUGGCCGAAAAGUAUUUGUCACAAAAUAAACGGCCACAAGCAAUUGCUUCAUUCGCUUGAUGCUAGAUUCCACAAGCAAGUCUUUGCUGUUAUAUCUUUCAAAACUGGAGUUUCUACAAUUUCAAAGCAACUUUCUACAACUUCAUAGCAACUGAUUCUACUACUACUGUUACAAGGCUAAAAGAAAACUAUUGUAUCCUCAAGAUCACGGUUGCUGCUGGUAUCGAUUGAAUAUGAAUCUCUUAGCUUGCA
This 1555-nucleotide long non-coding RNA is filed under the name Brassica napus (rape). RNAcentral describes it as "long non-coding RNA (BNAP_LNC012741)". Lineage: Eukaryota; Viridiplantae; Streptophyta; Magnoliopsida; Brassicales; Brassicaceae. The record is from RNAcentral.